CGGUGUCUUCGGACAUAGUGGCGCACGGGAUGCGUAACACGUAUGCAACCUACCUUACAUUGGGGGAUAGCCUUUCGAAAGGGAGAUUAAUACCGCAUAAGACAGUAGCUGGGCAUCCAGCAGCUGUUAAAGAUUUAUCGAUGUAAGAUGGGCAUGCGUCCAAUUAGUUAGUUGGCGAGGUAACGGCUCACCAAGACUUUGAUUGGUAGGGGAACUGAGAGGUCAAUCCCCCACACUGGCACUGAGAUACGGGCCAGACUCCUACGGGAGGCAGCAGUAGGGAAUAUUGGGCAAUGGACGCAAGUCUGACCCAGCCAUGCCGCGUGCAGGAUGAAGGCGUUAUGCGUUGUAAACUGCUUUUAUACAGGAAGAAACGACUCUUGCGAGAGGCAUUGACGGUACUGUAUGAAUAAGCACCGGCUAACUCCGUGCCAGCAGCCGCGGUAAUACGGAGGGUGCAAGCGUUGUCCGGAUUUAUUGGGUUUAAAGGGUGCGCAGGUGGUUUAUUAAGUCAGUGGUGAAAGACGGUCGCUCAACGAUUGCAGUGCCAUUGAAACUGGUAGACUUGAGUAAAGUAGAGGUGGGCGGAAUUGAU
This 595-nucleotide ribosomal RNA is filed under the name uncultured Bacteroidota bacterium. RNAcentral describes it as "bacterial SSU rRNA". It matches the Rfam family "Bacterial small subunit ribosomal RNA", at positions 67 to 671 of the family's 1533-position model. Lineage: Bacteria; Pseudomonadati; Bacteroidota. The record is from RNAcentral.